GAUGAACGCUGACAGAAUGCUUAACACAUGCAAGUCGAUGGGGAAGUGGUGCUUGCACCAUGGUAACCAUGGCGGACGGGUGAGUAACGCGUAAGGAACUUGCCUGCGGGACUGGGAUAACAGCAGGAAACUGCUGAUAAUACCGGAUAAGGUCAUUAAGCUGCAUAGCUUAGUGAUGAAAGGAGACGCCUGCGGAGAGCCUUGCGUCCUAUUAGCUAGUUGGAGGGGUAACGGCCCACCAAGGCGAAGAUAGGUAGCCGGCCUGAGAGGGUGGACGGCCACAAGGGGACUGAGAUACGGCCCUUACUCCUACGGGAGGCAGCAGGGGGGAAUAUUGGACAAGGGGGGCAACCCUGAUCCAGCAAUUCUGUGUGCACGAAGACGGUUUUCGGAGUGUAAAGUGCUUUCAGAAGGGAAGAAGGAAGUGACGGUACCUGCAGAAGAAGCGACGGCUAAAUACGUG
This 463-nucleotide ribosomal RNA is filed under the name uncultured bacterium. Its description in RNAcentral is "partial 16S ribosomal RNA". It matches the Rfam family "Bacterial small subunit ribosomal RNA", at positions 28 to 507 of the family's 1533-position model. The record is from RNAcentral.